AGUUUGAUCCUGGCUCAGAUUGAACGCUGGCGGCAGGCCUAACACAUGCAAGUCGAACGGUAACAGAGAGUAGCUUGCUACUUUGCUGACGAGUGGCGGACGGGUGAGUAAUGUCUGGGGAUCUGCCUGAUGGAGGGGGAUAACUACUGGAAACGGUAGCUAAUACCGCAUAAUGUCGCAAGACCAAAGCGGGGGACUUUCGGGCCUCGCACCAUCAGAUGAACCCAGAUGGGAUUAGCUAGUAGGUAAGGUAAUGGCUUACCUAGGCGGCGAUCCCUAGCUGGUCUGAGAGGAUGACCAGCCACACUGGAACUGAGACACGGUCCAGACUCCUACGGGAGGCAGCAGUGGGGAAUAUUGCACAAUGGGCGCAAGCCUGAUGCAGCCAUGCCGCGUGUAUGAAGAAGGCCUUCGGGUUGUAAAGUACUUUCAGUCAGGAGGAAGGGUGUGAGAUUAAUACUUUCAUGCAUUGACGUUACUGACAGAAGAAGCACCGGCUAACUCCGUGCCAGCAGCCGCGGUAA
Molecule: ribosomal RNA, 524 nt
Filed under: uncultured bacterium
Lineage: Bacteria
Description: bacterial SSU rRNA
Rfam family: Bacterial small subunit ribosomal RNA
Source: RNAcentral